ACUCAAAUGAAUUGACGGGGAGGAGCACAACCAGUGGAGCGUGUGGUUUAAUUCGAUACGAAGCGAAAAACCUUACCAAGAUUUGACAUACUUCCGCAUGUUAUUGCCGAAAGGUGAUGGCCUUCAGGAAGAACAGCUGCUGCAUGGCUGUCGUCAGUUCGUUCCGUGAGGAGUUCCCUUAAGUGGGGUAACGAACGCAACCCCUGCUGUCUGUUACAAGUGUCAGACGGAACUGCCUUGCUAAUAGCAAGGAGGAAGGAGGGGCAGACGUCAAGUCAGCAUGGCGCUUAUGUCUUGGGCAACACACACCCUACAAUGGAGCCGACAAUGGGUUUGCGAAACGGUAACGUGGAGCUAAUCUCAUCAAACGGCUUCUCAGUUGGGAUUGAGGCUUGCAAUUCAGCCUCAUGAACUAGGAAUUGGUAGUAAUCGCGAAUCAGAAGGUCGCGGUGAAUACGUUCUCUCCUCUUGUACACACCGCCCGU
Molecule: ribosomal RNA, 485 nt
Filed under: uncultured bacterium
Lineage: Bacteria
Description: partial 16S ribosomal RNA
Rfam family: Bacterial small subunit ribosomal RNA
Source: RNAcentral